Chinchilla lanigera (long-tailed chinchilla) is the source of this 1236-nucleotide long non-coding RNA. RefSeq lists it as uncharacterized. The transcript is spliced from 4 exons. NCBI's taxonomy places the organism in Eukaryota, Metazoa, Chordata, Mammalia, Rodentia, Chinchillidae. The record is from RefSeq and is a predicted model, not a curated record.
UACAGAGUUUUCAGAACCGUUCAGCAGUAAUCAAUAAUGGUCCAGGGUUCCUGCAUGGCAACGAUGGGGUACAGCUCACUCCAGUCUUCAUGUACCACCUCCUCUUUGUACAUUCUCAGCACUCGCUUUAUUCACUGUGUCCCUGCUCGCCCCAUGAGCAUCUGCUCUUACUGCUAAAUAUGAGAUGACCUCUGGAGACCCUCAUUCCAUGAGUAAAGCAAGGUGUCAUGAGUUUCAGAGAAGACUUGGAGGAGAGGACAAUGUUCUGAGCAAAAGAUGACGCUGUAUUGCUCCAGGAAAUCUCAAGGAAUUGCUCCUCUUCUUCACUAGGCCUGGAGUUGAAGUAUCAAGACGUCCCUACUUUUGUGAGGGUCCCACGACACGGUUAAAUCUGAAAAGGCAACGGCCUGGCUGUGAAAAUUGCGAAAUGUUCUUCCGUUGGGGUUGCUAGCUGAUUCUCUAAGUAAUUUGCAAUUCAAGUGUCUCUUUGUUUUGUAUGAAAAUUUGCUGCUAUUUGGAAAGUGGGGAAGAGCUAAAUUGCAUCCUGCUGGUUUUACUUUGACUGUAUCAAAAAAGAAACUGUUAAUCUGGUUCCAUAAUUAACUUGCCUGUUCUAAAAAGGCCCUGGGAGAGAGUCCAGAGAGCGGCUGUCAAGUCCCUGCUGCUCUACUCAAUAACUCCUUUCAAUAGGAUGCCCUGGAAGAAGAACGGUUUCAGCACACAAUGCAAGAUUAUCCAGCCAUGAAGAAGAAUAAAAUCCUUGAAUCUGCAGCAAAACUGAUUAAACUGGAAGUCAUUACAUUUAGUGAGACAAGCUAGAAACAUAAAGAAAUCAUGGGUACACUAUCAGGAAUGGCUCCAUGCUGGAAUUUACCACAGUGAUGAGAAAGGGCCAUGUGAAAAGGACUAUGACAGGAUUCCUCUAAAGAAAUGUAUUCCUGGGCAAUCAAAUACUCAAGGAUGAUGAGAGGGAGCUCUGCUUCAUAAAAGGAUGUCAGCUGAUACACAUAGCGUGAGUGACAAAAUUAGGAAAAGCACUUCAUAAAAUGCAAACUGUAAUGUAAUUGAUCCUGGCACUAGUUUUCACUUGGUAUAAAACUAUUAGAUAAAUAAAAAUAUAAGCCUAUAAUGAAUACAACCCAAGUGAGAUCUCAUUUCUCCUCUGGUCAAAACUCACUGUUGGCCUACAUUUCACUCUGAGUGAAUUAAGCAGCUUUCUAUCACCAUAGCAAAAUA